RNAcentral lists this long non-coding RNA (813 nucleotides) under Lactuca sativa (garden lettuce). Its description in RNAcentral is "long non-coding RNA (LSAT_LNC007721)". Lineage: Eukaryota; Viridiplantae; Streptophyta; Magnoliopsida; Asterales; Asteraceae. The record is from RNAcentral.
AACAUUCCCAGGAUAACUGACUAUGGUGUGUGCACUGCAAUCUUCCCGAGCUCCGCUUUUGAAAACUGAGUUCUUGAAACCAAAACUGAAAACCGUAAGAACGAAGCUUAGUGAGCUCCCAUAAUCUACCACAUACCAUACAAUAACAUAUAAAGCACCUACUGGGCCUUGCCCACUGCAUCGGACCGAAGUCCGGACUAACUGGGGCCUUGCCCCCUGCAUCGGACCGAAGUCCGGAAACUGACUGGGACCUUGUCCCCUGCAUCGGACUGAAGUCCGGACUAACUGACUGGGACCUUGUCCCCUGCAUCGGACCGAAGUCCGGACUAACUGGGGCCUUGCCCCCUGCAUCGGACCGAAUUCCGGAAACUGACUGGGACCUUGUCCCCUGCAUCGGACCGAAGUCCGGACUAACUGACUGGGACCUUGUCCCCUGCAUCGGACCGAAGUCUGGACUAACUGGGGCCUUGCCCCCUGCAUCGGACCAAAGUCCAGAACUAACUAAACAUCACAUAACAUAAACAUAUCAACUAGCAUGAACACACAUAUACUGCAUACUGCAUCGGGCCGUAGCCCGGAACACAUAACACAUAAAUCCUGUCUGAGCCACGAAGGCAUCAAACAUACUAACUACUGCAUCAGAUCAAAAUCCGGAAACUACUGCUAGCUAAACGGGCCGGCAUUGUGGCCUUAGACCCGUUCCUACUGGAAGGAAACUCACCUCGUGAACUGGCUGCUGAGUGUAUGGCUCUGGAAGCUAUCUGCUGCUGCUCCAGUAUCUCCUCGGCUAUAAUUCCAUAAACAUACUCAAUC